GCAUUGGUGGUUCAGUGGUAGAAUUCUUGCCUUCUACGUAGAAGACCCAGGGUUGUUUCCUGGUCAAUAUA
RNAcentral lists this transfer RNA (71 nucleotides) under Loxodonta africana (African savanna elephant). It matches the Rfam family "tRNA". From Rfam's summary of the family: Transfer RNA (tRNA) molecules are approximately 80 nucleotides in length. The record is from Rfam by way of RNAcentral. Lineage: Eukaryota; Metazoa; Chordata; Mammalia; Proboscidea; Elephantidae.